Molecule: ribosomal RNA, 511 nt
Filed under: uncultured Acidobacteriota bacterium
Lineage: Bacteria; Pseudomonadati; Acidobacteriota
Description: bacterial SSU rRNA
Rfam family: Bacterial small subunit ribosomal RNA
Source: RNAcentral
GAGUUUGAUCAUGGCUCAGAAUGAACGCUGGCGGCGUGCUUUACACAUGCAAGUCGAGCGAGGCGUGUAGCAAUACACAGUCGAGCGGCGAACGGGUGAGUAACGCGUGGAUUAUCUGCCCUGAGGUGGGGGAUAACCCGGGGAAACUCGGGCUAAUACCGCAUGACACCGCGAGGUCAAAGGGGGCGCAAGCUCCCGCCGCAGGAGGAGUCCGCGUUCGAUUAGCUAGUUGGUAGGGUAAUGGCCUACCAAGGCGACGAUCGAUAGCCGGCCUGAGAGGGUGAUCGGCCACACUGGAACUGAGACACGGUCCAGACUCCUACGGGAGGCAGCAGUGGGGAAUUUUGCGCAAUGGGCGAAAGCCUGACGCAGCAACGCCGCGUGGAGGAUGAAGGUCUUUGGAUUGUAAACUCCUGUCAGCAGGGAAAAGCGAAUCGGUCUAAUACGCCGGUGAGUUGAUUGUACCUGCAGAGGAAGCCCCGGCUAACUCUGUGCCAGCCGCCGCGGUAAG